Molecule: ribosomal RNA, 440 nt
Filed under: uncultured bacterium
Lineage: Bacteria
Description: partial 16S ribosomal RNA
Rfam family: Bacterial small subunit ribosomal RNA
Source: RNAcentral
CCUACGGGCGGCAGCAGUGAGGGAUAUUGGUCAAUGGGGGAAACCCUGAACCAGCAACGCCGCGUGAGGGAAGACGGUUUUCGGAUUGUAAACCUCUGUCCUCUGUGAAGAUAAUGACGGUAGCAGAGGAGGAAGCUCCGGCUAACUACGUGCCAGCAGCCGCGGUUAUACGUAGGGAGCAAGCGUUGUCCGGAUUUACUGGGUGUAAAGGGUGCGUAGGCGGCUCUGCAAGUCAGAAGUGAAAUCCAUGGGCUUAACCCGUGAACUGCUUUUGAAACUGUAGGGCUUGAGUGAAGUAGAGGCAGGCGGAAUGCGCGGUGUAGCGGUGAAAUGCGUAGAGAUCGGGAAGAACACCAGUGGCGAAGGCGGCCUACUGGGCUUUAACUGACGCUGAAGCACGAAAGCGUGGGUAGCAAACAGGAUUAGAUACCCUAGUAGUC